GAUGAACGCUAGCGGCAGGCCUAACACAUGCAAGUCGAGGGAGAAGCCCUUUCGGGGGCAGAAACCGGCGCACGGGUGCGUAACGCGUAUGCAACCUACCUUUCACAGGGGGAUAGGCCGAAGAAAUUGGGAUUAAUACUCCAUAAUAAUAUUGGAUGGCAUCAUUUGAUAAUUAAAAGUGCGGUGGUGAAAGAUGGGCCGGCGUCCUAUUAGCUAGUUGGAGUGGUAACGGCACCCCAGGGCUACGAUAGGUAGGGGUCCUGAGAGGGCGAUCCCCCACACUGGUACUGAGACAGCGACCAGACUCCUACGGCAGGCAGCAGUGAGGAAUAUUGGUCAAUGGUCGGCAGACUGAACCAGCCAUGCCGCGUGCAGGAAGAAUGCCUUAUGGAUUGUAAACUUCUUUUAUAUGAGAAGCAUAAGGUGUACGUGUACAUUGAUGACGGUACCCUAUGAAUAAGCAUCGGCUAACUCCGUG
This 478-nucleotide ribosomal RNA is filed under the name uncultured bacterium. RNAcentral's name for it is "partial 16S ribosomal RNA". It matches the Rfam family "Bacterial small subunit ribosomal RNA", at positions 28 to 507 of the family's 1533-position model. The record is from RNAcentral.